Molecule: ribosomal RNA, 674 nt
Filed under: uncultured Staphylococcus sp.
Lineage: Bacteria; Bacillati; Bacillota; Bacilli; Caryophanales; Staphylococcaceae
Description: bacterial SSU rRNA
Rfam family: Bacterial small subunit ribosomal RNA
Source: RNAcentral
GAGCGAACAGACGAGGAGCUUGCUCCUCUGACGUUAGCGGCGGACGGGUGAGUAACAUGUGGAUAACCUACCUAUAAGACUGGGAUAACUUCGGGAAACCGGAGCUAAUACCGGAUAAUAUAUUGAACCGCAUGGUUCAAUAGUGAAAGACGGUUUUGCUGUCACUUAUAGAUGGAUCCGCGCCGCAUUAGCUAGUUGGUAAGGUAACGGCUUACCAAGGCAACGAUGCGUAGCCGACCUGAGAGGGUGAUCGGCCACACUGGAACUGAGACACGGUCCAGACUCCUACGGGAGGCAGCAGUAGGGAAUCUUCCGCAAUGGGCGAAAGCCUGACGGAGCAACGCCGCGUGAGUGAUGAAGGUCUUCGGAUCGUCAAACUCUGUUAUUAGGGAAGAACACAUGUGUAAGUAACUAUGCACGUCUUGACGGUACCUAAUCAGAAAGCCACGGCUAACUACGUGCCAGCAGCCGCGGUAAUACGUAGGCGGCAAGCGUUAUCCGGAAUUAUUGGGCGUAAAGCGCGCGUAGGCGGUUUUUUAAGUCUGAUGUGAAAGCCCACGGCUCAACCGUGGAGGGUCAUUGGAAUCUGGAAACUUGAGUGCAGAAGAGGAAGUGGAAUUCCAUGUGUAGCGGUGAAAUGCGCAGAGAUAUGGAGGACACCAGUGGCGAAGGCG